UACGUAGGUGGCAAGCGUUGUCCGGAUUUAUUGGGUUUAAAGGGUGCGUAGGCGGCUUUGUAAGUCAGUGGUGAAAUAUGGCAGCUCAACUGUCAGGGUGCCAUUGAUACUGCGGAGCUUGAGUACAGAUGAGGUAGGCGGAAUUGACGGUGUAGCGGUGAAAUGCUUAGAUAUCGUCAAGAACACCGAUAGCGAAGGCAGCUUACUGGGCUGUAACUGACGCUGAGGCACGAAAGCGUGGGGAGCAAACAGG
RNAcentral lists this ribosomal RNA (253 nucleotides) under uncultured bacterium. Its description in RNAcentral is "partial 16S ribosomal RNA". It matches the Rfam family "Bacterial small subunit ribosomal RNA", at positions 524 to 776 of the family's 1533-position model. The record is from RNAcentral.